RNAcentral lists this ribosomal RNA (922 nucleotides) under Teratosphaeria macowanii. Its description in RNAcentral is "eukaryotic LSU rRNA". It matches the Rfam family "Eukaryotic large subunit ribosomal RNA", at positions 1 to 953 of the family's 3401-position model. The record is from RNAcentral. Lineage: Eukaryota; Fungi; Ascomycota; Dothideomycetes; Mycosphaerellales; Teratosphaeriaceae.
GUUGACCUCGGAUCAGGUAGGGAUACCCGCUGAACUUAAGCAUAUCAAUAAGCGGAGGAAAAGAAACCAACAGGGAUUGCCUCAGUAACGGCGAGUGAAGCGGCAACAGCUCAAAUUUGAAAUCUGGCGCAAGCCCGAGUUGUAAUUUGUAGAGGAUGCUUCAGGGCAGCGGCCGGUCUAAGUUCCUUGGAACAGGACGUCAUAGAGGGUGAGAAUCCCGUAUGCGACCGGUUGGCACCCGUCACGUAGCUCCUUCGACGAGUCGAGUUGUUUGGGAAUGCAGCUCUAAAUGGGUGGUAAAUUCCAUCUAAAGCUAAAUACCGGCCAGAGACCGAUAGCGCACAAGUAGAGUGAUCGAAAGAUGAAAAGCACUUUGGAAAGAGAGUUAAAAAGCACGUGAAAUUGUUGAAAGGGAAGCGCAUGCAACCAGACUUGUCGGCGGUGUUCCGCCGGUCUUCUGACCGGUCUACUCGCCGCCGGCAGGCCAGCAUCAUCUGGGUGCGCCGGAUAAAGGCGUGGGGAAUGUAGCUCCUCGGAGUGUUAUAGCCCCGCGCACAAUACGGCGCCGCCCGGGUGAGGUCCGCGCUUCGGCUAGGAUGCUGGCGUAAUGGUUGUAUGCGGCCCGUCUUGAAACACGGACCAAGGAGUCUAACAUCUAUGCGAGUGUUCGGGUGUCAAACCCCUACGCGGAAUGAAAGUGAACGGAGGUGGGAAGCGCAAGCUGCACCAUCGACCGAUCCUGAUGUCUUCGGAUGGAUUUGAGUAAGAGCAUAGCUGUUGGGACCCGAAAGAUGGUGAACUAUGCCUAAAUAGGGUGAAGCCAGAGGAAACUCUGGUGGAGGCUCGCAGCGGUUCUGACGUGCAAAUCGAUCGUCUAAUUUGGGUAUAGGGGCGAAAGACUAAUCGAACCAUCUAGUAGCUG